Long non-coding RNA from Hyaena hyaena (striped hyena), 737 nucleotides. RefSeq lists it as uncharacterized. NCBI's taxonomy places the organism in Eukaryota, Metazoa, Chordata, Mammalia, Carnivora, Hyaenidae. The record is from RefSeq and is a predicted model, not a curated record. The transcript has 4 exons.
GCCGGAGUCGCUGCCCACUUGCGGCUCCUCGCUGCUGGCCUUCUCCUUCCUGGUCCUUCUAUAAGGUUUUACAGCAGCUUCCGGACCUUGAGAGAGACUAAGCAGUGAAACUGCAGGGACUGAGGCUGGAGAUACCUGAGGGACCUCUGUGUGAGGGACAGGCUCUAAGCCUGCAGAAGUCUUUUGGCCUCCAGCCUGCUUCCCGUUCUUUUUUCUCCAGUCCCCCACUCUCCCACCCACCCCGAACUCUCUGUACUCAGUAUCUCUCAGUCCUUAAUGAAAGGAAAUACAGCAAGAUGAGGACGUUGAAUCAGAAAGCUGCUUUUCGAUUAGACGGAGAAGCCUGUGAAUCAUUGAGUCAACCCCACGGCAGCCAGGAGGUGGGGAUAAGGUCUUGGCUUUAACCAUCACCUACAAGGCCUUAACUUGAGGAUGAGAAAACUAAGGUCCGAAAAACUGAUAGACCCAUGCUAGAAGUGCACGUGUUCUGAUGUUCAGCAGUUAAAGCCUCAAGAGUCUAUGGAUUAGGAUGACCCUCCAAAAAUAGAAGCAACUAUUUCUGGGAAUUUGCAUCUCUGUCUGUUGAGGGUGGCUGCAUGUCAACAGAAUUCUAAGUCUUCUUGACUAAUAGUCUACUUGCAAAUAAUUCAGACCUUCAAUCUGUUAUACCAUUGUCUGUACAAAAUGCAUGUCAGUGUACAAGUAGUCAGUAAUGAUUAAAUUAUUAUAGAAAUGGA